CAGGCCUGAUUGUCUCGCCUGAGGUGUGUGUGUGACAGGUGGGACUUGUUGUGCUGUGAGAGAGUGAUGGGUUAGGCAAGAUGACAGGCUGGCACAGGGGGCAAGCAGGACGGCGACUGAACAUGCUCGGAUCUGGGGAGAGGUGUCAGUCCUGCAGCCAGCCAAGCAGAAACACACAGGAACACUUAAGGUGAUUCAAAGAGGAAACAAACAGAAGCUCCACUUCAGAUAUUCCUUAAACCCGAGAGAAUGUCCUUCAAACUGGAUCUAAGCAGCUGUGUCAGCAAGCAUCCUGCCUGCAGAGGGGUCUUUGAUCAACACACUGAGUCCCUACAAGCUGUUCUGCUGCUAACCCUGACCUCUGACCUCUGUGAAGCCAAAAGAACACACAGUGUUCCUAUAGGGAUCAGUCAGUUAUUACACAAUUAUUUUUUUUAACUAGCCUUAGAGUGCUGAAGUUGGAAAAGACUGUGCAUUAUUUCAGUGCUGCUUUAGUUUUAGAAGGCUGCUAAUUGCUAGCCUGAUGUUCUUUCUAUAUGCUAAUCAAUGACUGUUGCUGGAUAUAAUCAAGCAGAAAUUCAUAGCUUGGGUGUAGCUGCCAACACAAUGGAGUACAAAAUAAAUGACUCAAGUAAAUUUAUGAAUGGAGAAAACAGUAUGUGCUGUGUAAGUGUGCAAUAAAGUGACUUGACUUAGAACAGCUUUUAAUGUGA
Long non-coding RNA from Micropterus dolomieu (smallmouth bass), 713 nucleotides. RefSeq lists it as uncharacterized. The transcript is spliced from 3 exons. Lineage: Eukaryota; Metazoa; Chordata; Actinopteri; Centrarchiformes; Centrarchidae. The record is from RefSeq and is a predicted model, not a curated record.